AGGAAAUUAAGGAUUUAACGGCAUUUAAUUAACGGCGUUUUAGUAAACGUCACCUUUUCUAAUAAUUAACGACGUUUUUUAAACGUCGCAUUUGUUAUAAAUUAAAACGGUACCGUUUUGUGAAUGGAAGACGUUUAAAAAGCGCCUCCAAAUCCGGUUUCUCUUUCCACCCUCUUUUGUCUCUCCAAACCUUUAUUUUGAAAACCCUAUUUUGAGCACUGCCGUCAAGAUGAUCGAAUCCUGUCUCACUCACUCUCUUGCUCUCUCUCUCUCAGAGAAUCGAAUCUGUUUCUCCAAAUCUCUUUCUCUCAGAGGAUCGAUUCUUCUCAAUCUCUUACUCAGUGAUUCAUCUUCGAAUCUUCUUCAGUUCGGUGAUUCAUCUCGGGAUUGUGAUUUCGAAGUUUGAUUUUGAGCACAGCUCCGUGAUUUAUAUCUUCGAUCAGAGGUCGGUGAUUCAUCUCAGGAUUGUGAUUUCGAAGUUCGAUUUUGAGCACAGCUCCAUGAUUCAUCUCCGCAGAUUUGGAACUCUUCGUCUUCUUCGAUCAGAGGCAUUCAAUUGUAACAAUGAAGGCUGCCAAGGGUAAGGGGGCAGCAAUCAAGGUCCCAAAGGAGGCGUUGAAGCCAGUUGACGACAGAAAGGUCGGGAAGAGAAAGGCUGCCACUAAGGCAAAUAACGGUGGCAAAAGUCAAGCCAAGAAUUGAACUCCUUUUAUAACUAUAGGUCAAACAAUAAUAAUUUCCAUAACUAUCAUCGGCGAUUUAUUUAUCAGAUAUACCAUCUUGAUGGAAACUUUUAGCUUCAGAGUUUUUUCUUCACAUAGUUUUAGUGUUUUAUUUUAUUUUAUUUAUUUUACCUUAACUUUGUAACACACAUGCUGUUACAACUAUUCGGAAAACAUUGG
Molecule: non-coding RNA, 902 nt
Organism: Camellia sinensis
Lineage: Eukaryota; Viridiplantae; Streptophyta; Magnoliopsida; Ericales; Theaceae
Source: RefSeq, a predicted model, not a curated record